This 1345-nucleotide ribosomal RNA is filed under the name uncultured bacterium. Its description in RNAcentral is "bacterial SSU rRNA". It matches the Rfam family "Bacterial small subunit ribosomal RNA", at positions 28 to 1381 of the family's 1533-position model. The record is from RNAcentral.
GACGAACGCUGGCGGCGUGCUUAACACAUGCAAGUCGAACGGAAAGGCCCUGCUUUUGUGGGGUGCUCGAGUGGCGAACGGGUGAGUAACACGUGAGUAACCUGCCCUUGACUUUGGGAUAACUUCAGGAAACUGGGGCUAAUACCGGAUAGGAGCUCCUGCUGCAUGGUGGGGGUUGGAAAGUUUCGGCGGUUGGGGAUGGACUCGCGGCUUAUCAGCUUGUUGGUGGGGUAGUGGCUUACCAAGGCUUUGACGGGUAGCCGGCCUGAGAGGGUGACCGGCCACAUUGGGACUGAGAUACGGCCCAGACUCCUACGGGAGGCAGCAGUGGGAAUAUUGCACAAUGGGCGGAAGCCUGAUGCAGCAACGCCGCGUGCGGGAUGACGGCCUUCGGGUUGUAAACCGCUUUCGCCUGUGACGAAGCGUGAGUGACGGUAAUGGGUAAAGAAGCACCGGCUAACUACGUGCCAGCAGCCGCGGUGAUACGUAGGGUGCGAGCGUUGUCCGGAUUUAUUGGGCGUAAAGGGCUCGUAGGUGGUUGAUCGCGUCGGAAGUGUAAUCUUGGGGCUUAACCCUGAGCGUGCUUUCGAUACGGGUUGACUUGAGGAAGGUAGGGGAGAAUGGAAUUCCUGGUGGAGCGGUGGAAUGCGCAGAUAUCAGGAGGAACACCAGUGGCGAAGGCGGUUCUCUGGGCCUUUCCUGACGCUGAGGAGCGAAAGCGUGGGGAGCGAACAGGCUUAGAUACCCUGGUAGUCCACGCUGUAAACGGUGGGUACUAGGUGUGGGGUCCAUUCCACGGGUUCCGUGCCGUAGCUAACGCUUUAAGUACCCCGCCUGGGGAGUACGGCCGCAAGGCUAAAACUCAAAGGAAUUGACGGGGCCCCGCACAAGCGGCGGAGCAUGCGGAUUAAUUCGAUGCAACGCGUAGAACCUUACCUGGGUUUGACAUGGAUCGGAAGCGCUCAGAGAUGGGUGUGCCUCUUUUGGGGUCGGUUCACAGGUGGUGCAUGGCUGUCGUCAGCUCGUGUCGUGAGAUGUUGGGUUAAGUCCCGCAACGAGCGCAACCCUUGUUCACUGUUGCCAGCACGUUAUGGUGGGGACUCAGUGGAGACCGCCGGGGUCAACUCGGAGGAAGGUGGGGAUGACGUCAAGUCAUCAUGCCCCUUAUGUCCAGGGCUUCACGCAUGCUACAAUGGCUGGUACAGAGAGUGGCGAGCCUGUGAGGGUGAGCGAAUCUCGGAAAGCCGGUCUCAGUUCGGAUUGGGGUCUGCAACUCGACCUCAUGAAGUCGGAGUCGCUAGUAAUCGCAGAUCAGCAACGCUGCGGUGAAUACGUUCCCGGGGCU